CCUACGGGAGGCAGCAGUGGGGAAUAUUGCACAAUGGGCGCAAGCCUGAUGCAGCGACGCCGCGUGAGGGAUGAAGGCCUUCGGGUUGUAAACCUCUUUCAGUAGGGAAGAAGCGUAAGUGACGGUACCUGCAGAAGAAGCGCCGGCUAACUACGUGCCAGCAGCCGCGGUAAUACGUAGGGCGCAAGCGUUAUCCGGAGUUAUUGGGCGUAAAGAGCUCGUAGGCGGUUUGUCGCGUCUGCCGUGAAAGUCCGGGGCUUAACUCCGGAUCUGCGGUGGGUACGGGCAGACUUGAGUGAUGUAGGGGAGACUGGAAUUCCUGGUGUAGCGGUGAAAUGCGCAGAUAUCAGGAGGAACACCGAUGGCGAAGGCAGGUCUCUGGGCAUUAACUGACGCUGAGGAGCGAAAGCAUGGGGAGCGAACAGGAUUAGAUACCCUGGUAGUCCAUGCCGUAAACGUUGGGCACUAGGUGUGGGGGACAUUCCACGUUUUCCGCGCCGCAGCUAACGCAUUAAGUGCCCCGCCUGGGGAGUACGGCCGCAAGGCUAAAACUCAAAUGAAUUGACGGGG
This 570-nucleotide ribosomal RNA is filed under the name uncultured Arthrobacter sp. RNAcentral describes it as "bacterial SSU rRNA". It matches the Rfam family "Bacterial small subunit ribosomal RNA", at positions 338 to 918 of the family's 1533-position model. Lineage: Bacteria; Bacillati; Actinomycetota; Actinomycetes; Micrococcales; Micrococcaceae. The record is from RNAcentral.